RNAcentral lists this long non-coding RNA (891 nucleotides) under Cricetulus griseus (Chinese hamster). Its description in RNAcentral is "lncRNA (ENSCGRG00015029998.1)". The record is from RNAcentral. Lineage: Eukaryota; Metazoa; Chordata; Mammalia; Rodentia; Cricetidae.
CUUGCUGUUCAGACUGCUGCCACGCUGGCUGGCUAGGUCACUCUGUUUAUACUUCCAGUGGUGAAAUUUGGGUGAUUUUAACAGCAUCAAGAAAGUGGCUACUAGCUUAAUAAGUUGCACUCUGGAAAAUUUCUUUGCUAAUGAAAAGCCUGCUGUGACCCAAGUUCUAUAGACUGGUGACCAUCCUGCUUGGAACUGUUAAAGAUCAUCACCUUGCCCCUAUGGAAGGCCUUACCCUCCCUGGGGAGCAGAAAGUUUAUAGGUGCCCUGCUCAGAGUCACCUGAGGCCUGGGAACUACUCACUCGGGCACCCAUCCAGGUGGUCCAGCCCAUCCAGAGACUGCCAGGGUCCUGAUUCCGUCUCCACCCAGUGGAAGAGGAGAACCAUCGGAGUAUUGGACCUACUCGCACCCACUGGAUGGGAACCUUGGACCCAUACCCAUCAGGAGAAACUCCACCUGUACCCACUGGAAGAAGGGCUGGAAAGAAGGCAACAUAAAAACACAUUCAACAAUAGAAAAAACAAUAAGACACCACCAGAGUCUAGGGACUCUACACCAGCAAGACCUGAUGAACAACACAGUGCAGAUGAAGCAGAAGACAAUGACCUUAAAAACAAUUUAAUGAAAAUGAUAGAGGUCCUCAAAGAGGAUAUGAGAAAAUCCAUUGAAGAAAUGGAAGAAAAUUGUAUAAGUUGAAUUGAGAAUUUAAUUUCUUAUUAUAUUAUCUUGACAAAAUCUUAAAUAAAUGUUAUAAAACAUCAGAUUUUAAUUUUUCUGAAAAUUGUACAUAUUUUAAUUUUAACCUUACAAAAUAUGCACAUAUAAUAAAUUAUAUCUAUUUAAUUACUAUGAUUUAAUGGUGGAUUUUAUCAUUUUAAUUAAUGUGGUG